This 468-nucleotide ribosomal RNA is filed under the name uncultured bacterium. RNAcentral's name for it is "partial 16S ribosomal RNA". It matches the Rfam family "Bacterial small subunit ribosomal RNA", at positions 28 to 507 of the family's 1533-position model. The record is from RNAcentral.
GACGAACGCUGGCGGCGUGCUUAACACAUGCAAGUCGAACGGAAAGGCCCUGCUUUCGUGGGGUGCUCGAGUGGCGAACGGGUGAGUAACACGUGAGUAACCUGCCCUUGACUUUGGGAUAACUUCAGGAAACUGGGGCUAAUACCGGAUAGGAGAUCCUGCUGCAUGGUGGGGGUUGGAAAGUUUCGGCGGUUGGGGAUGGACUAGCGGCUUAUCAGCUUGUUGGUGGGGUAGUGGCUUACCAAGGCUUAGACGGGUAGCCGGCCUGAGAGGGUGACCGGCCACAUUGGGACUGAGAUACGGCCCAGACGCCUACGUGAGGCAGCAGUGGGGAAUAUUGCACAAUGGGCGGAAGCCGGAUGCAGCAACGCCGCGUGCGGGAUGACGGCCUUCGGGUUGUAAACCGCUUUCGCCUGUGACGAAGCGUGAGUGACGGUAAUGGGUAAAGAAGCACCGGCUAACUACGUG